Molecule: ribosomal RNA, 483 nt
Filed under: uncultured bacterium
Lineage: Bacteria
Description: partial 16S ribosomal RNA
Rfam family: Bacterial small subunit ribosomal RNA
Source: RNAcentral
ACUCAAAGGAAUUGACGGGGGCCCGCACAAGCAGCGGAGCGUGUGGUUUAAUUCGAUGCAACGCGAAGAACCUUACCAGGGCUUGACAUGCGGCCCACAGGGGGCGAAAGCCCCCGCCCGCGAGGGGUGCCGCACAGGUGCUGCAUGGCUGUCGUCAGCUCGUGCCGUGAGGUGUUGGGUUAAGUCCCGCAACGAGCGCAACCCCCGGGCCUAGUUAGGUUCCUAGGCCGACUGCCGGGACCAACCCGGAGGAAGGUGGGGAUGACGUCAAGUCAGCACGGCCCUCACGCCCUGGGCCACACACACGCUACAAUGGCCGGUACAGCGGGCGGUGCGAAGCCGCGAGGCGGAGCGAAUCCCUGCAAAGCCGGCCCCAGUGCAGAUCGGGGGCUGCAACCCGCCCCCGUGAAGUCGGAGUUGCUAGUAACCGCGGGUCAGCACACCGCGGUGAAUACGUUCCCGGGCCUUGUACACACCGCCCGU